This 472-nucleotide ribosomal RNA is filed under the name uncultured marine eukaryote. RNAcentral's name for it is "SSU rRNA". It matches the Rfam family "Eukaryotic small subunit ribosomal RNA", at positions 613 to 1081 of the family's 1831-position model. The record is from RNAcentral.
GUAUUGCAGUUAAAAAGCUCGUAGUUGGAUUUCUGUCCGGAGAGACCGGUCGGCGCCCUUUGGGCGUUGUGCACUGUUGUCUGCUCCGGACAUCCUUGCGGAGAAUGCGUGUGCCCUUAAUUGGGUGUGCGUAGGAUCCGCAACGUUUACUGUGAAAAAAUUAGAGUGUUUAAAGCAGGCGAUCGCUGUGAAUACAUUAGCAUGGAAUAAUGAGAUAGGACUUUGGUACUAUUUUGUUGGUUUGCGCACCAAGGUAAUGAUUAAUAGGGAUAGUUGGGGUAUUCAUAUUCAAUUGUCAGAGGUGAAAUUCUUGGAUUUAUGGAAGAUGAACUUAUGCGAAAGCAUUUACCAAGGAUGUUUUCAUUAAUCAAGAACGAAAGUUAGGGGAUCGAAGAUGAUUAGAUACCAUCGUAGUCUUAACCAUAAACUAUGCCGACUCGGGAUUGGGCGUCGUUGCUUUAAUGACUCGCUC